GGGGAUGUAGCUGAGUCGGAAAGCACUUGCUCUGCAUGUAAGAGGCCCUGGGUUCAACCCCCAGCAUCUCCA
This 72-nucleotide transfer RNA is filed under the name Phalacrocorax carbo (great cormorant). It matches the Rfam family "tRNA". Rfam says of the family: Transfer RNA (tRNA) molecules are approximately 80 nucleotides in length. Their secondary structure includes four short double-helical elements and three loops (D, anti-codon, and T loops). The record is from Rfam by way of RNAcentral. Lineage: Eukaryota; Metazoa; Chordata; Aves; Suliformes; Phalacrocoracidae.